GGGCCUGUAGCUAAGUCUGGUACAGCACCGGGCUCAUAACCCGGCGAUGCCUUGGUUCGAAUCCGAGCGGGCCCA
This 75-nucleotide transfer RNA is filed under the name Halobacteriales archaeon SW_7_68_16. Its description in RNAcentral is "tRNA-Met". It matches the Rfam family "tRNA". From Rfam's summary of the family: Transfer RNA (tRNA) molecules are approximately 80 nucleotides in length. Their secondary structure includes four short double-helical elements and three loops (D, anti-codon, and T loops). Lineage: Archaea; Methanobacteriati; Methanobacteriota; Halobacteria; Halobacteriales. The record is from RNAcentral.